This 29-nucleotide non-coding RNA is filed under the name Mus musculus (house mouse). The record is from RNAcentral. Lineage: Eukaryota; Metazoa; Chordata; Mammalia; Rodentia; Muridae.
UGCAACACAGGUUUGUCCUAAUGCCAUGC